GUAACACGUAGUCAACAUGCCCAGGGGACGUGGAUAACCUCGGGAAACUGAGGAUAAACCGCGAUAGGUCAUUACUUCUGGAAUGGGUAAUGACUUAAAUCUAUAUGGCCCCUGGAUUGGACUGCGGCCGAUCAGGCUGUUGGUGAGGUAAUGGCCCACCAAACCUGUAACCGGUACGGGCUCUGAGAGGAGGAGCCCGGAGAUGGGCACUGAGACAAGGGCCCAGGCCCUAUGGGGCGCAGCAGGCGCGAAACCUCUGCAAUAGGCGAAAGCCUGACAGGGUUACUCUGAGUGAUCUCCGUUAAGGAGAUCUUUUGGCACCUCUAAAAAUGGUGCAGAAUAAGGGGUGGGCAAGUCUGGUGUCAGCCGCCGCGGUAAUACCAGCACCCCGAGUGGUCGGGACGUUUAUUGGGCCUAAAGCAUCCGUAGCCGGUUCUACAAGUCUUCCGUUAAAUCCAGCUGCUUAACAGAUGGGCCGCGGAAGAUACUAUGGAGCU
This 497-nucleotide ribosomal RNA is filed under the name uncultured archaeon. RNAcentral describes it as "bacterial SSU rRNA". It matches the Rfam family "Archaeal small subunit ribosomal RNA", at positions 93 to 593 of the family's 1478-position model. The record is from RNAcentral.